Molecule: ribosomal RNA, 459 nt
Filed under: uncultured bacterium
Lineage: Bacteria
Description: partial 16S ribosomal RNA
Rfam family: Bacterial small subunit ribosomal RNA
Source: RNAcentral
CCUACGGGGGGCAGCAGUGAGGAAUAUUGGUCAAUGGGCGCGAGCCUGAACCAGCCAAGUCGCGUGAGGGAAGACGGUCCUAUGGAUUGUAAACCUCUUUUGUCGGGGAGCAAAAGACGCCACGCGUGGCGUUCCGAGAGUACCCGAAGAAAAAGCAUCGGCUAACUCCGUGCCAGCAGCCGCGGUAAUACGGAGGAUGCGAGCGUUAUCCGGAUUUAUUGGGUUUAAGGGGUGCGCAGGCGGAGGAUCAAGUCAGCGGUAAAAUUGAGAGGCUCAACCUCUUCGAGCCGUUGAAACUGGUUGUCUUGAGUGAGCGAGAAGUAUGCGGAAUGCGUGGUGUAGCGGUGAAAUGCAUAGAUAUCACGCAGAACUCCGAUUGCGAAGGCAGCAUACCGGCGCUCAACUGACGCUCAUGCACGAAAGUGUGGGUAUCGAACAGGAUUAGAUACCCCAGUAGUC